AGCCCGACAGCUAGCUCAACCCCCAAAAUACAACAACACACUGUAACUACCCCCUAACAACCCAAACACCCCUGAAACAAACCAUUUUUCCCCCUUAGUAUGGGCGACAGAAAAGGACCUUCCGAAGCAAUAGAUAAAGUACCGCAAGGGAAUGCUGAAAGAGAAAUGAAACAAAUCAGUUUAAGCACAAUAAAGCAGAGCUUAAUUCUCGUACCUUUUGCAUCAUGACUUAGCAAGAAACCAUCGAGCAAAAUGCCUUUUAGUUUGAUUCCCCGAAACCAAGUGAGCUACUCCAAGACAGCCUAUUAUAGGGCAAACCCGUCUCUGUGGCAAAAGAGUGGGGAGAGCUUUGAGUAGAGGUGACAGACCUACCGAACUUGGUUAUAGCUGGUUGUCCGAGAAUUGAAUAGAAGUUCAGCCUCUUGUCCUCUCUCGCCACACCUUAUUUUUCUAAGCCUAUAAAGAGGGCAAAAGAGUUAGUCAAAGGGGGUACAGCCCCUUUGAAACAGAUACAACUUUCCCAGAAGGGUUAGGAUCAAAGAACACCAGGGACCUUGUUUUGGUUGGCUUAAAAGCAGCCACCCACUUAGAAAGCGUUAAAGCUCAUACACUAACCACCCCUAUUAUUUGGAUCAUUUAAUCUUACCCCCCUACGCAUAUACCGGACCUUUCCAUCACCUAUGGAAGAGAUUAUGCUAAUAUGAGUAAUAAGAGACCCCAGACUCUCUCCCCGCACAAGUUUAAAUCGGAACGGACUAGCACCGAAAAUUAACGGCCUCAAAGAAGAGGGCAUUGGAACAUCAUGGGAAACCGCUAGAAAAACAUCCAUACCACCCCCACCGUUAACCUUACACCAGUGUGCCUACAAGGAAAGACUAAAAGAAAAAGAAGGAACUCGGCA
RNAcentral lists this ribosomal RNA (901 nucleotides) under Paroncheilus affinis (bigtooth cardinalfish). RNAcentral describes it as "Apogon affinis (bigtooth cardinalfish) partial 16S ribosomal RNA". The stretch from base 193 to 901 matches the Rfam family "Bacterial large subunit ribosomal RNA", at positions 568 to 1719 of the family's 2925-position model. Lineage: Eukaryota; Metazoa; Chordata; Actinopteri; Kurtiformes; Apogonidae. The record is from RNAcentral.